GUGGGGAAUAUUGGACAAUGGGCGAAAGCCUGAUCCAGCCAUGCCGCGUGUGUGAAGAAGGUCUUCGGAUUGUAAAGCACUUUAAGUUGGGAGGAAGGGCAGUAAGUUAAUACCUUGCUGUUUUGACGUUACCGACAGAAUAAGCACCGGCUAACUUCGUGCCAGCAGCCGCGGUAAUACGAAGGGUGCAAGCGUUAAUCGGAAUUACUGGGCGUAAAGCGCGCGUAGGUGGUUUUGUAAGUUGGAGGUGAAAUCCCCGGGCUCAACCUGGGAACUGCCUCCAAAACUGCAUGACUAGAGUACGGUAGAGGGUAGUGGAAUUUCCUGUGUAGCGGUGAAAUGCGUAGAAAUAGGAAGGAACACCAGUGGCGAAGGCGACUACCUGGACUGAUACUGACACUGAGGUGCGAAAGCGUGGGGAGCAAACAGGAUUAGAAACCCUAGUAGUCC
RNAcentral lists this ribosomal RNA (450 nucleotides) under uncultured bacterium. RNAcentral's name for it is "partial 16S ribosomal RNA". It matches the Rfam family "Bacterial small subunit ribosomal RNA", at positions 354 to 796 of the family's 1533-position model. The record is from RNAcentral.